RNAcentral lists this ribosomal RNA (252 nucleotides) under uncultured bacterium. RNAcentral describes it as "partial 16S ribosomal RNA". It matches the Rfam family "Bacterial small subunit ribosomal RNA", at positions 524 to 776 of the family's 1533-position model. The record is from RNAcentral.
UACGGGGGGGGCAAGCGUUGUUCGGAAUUACUGGGCGUUAAAGGGUUCGUAGGUGGCCUGCUAAGUCAGACGUGAAAUCCCUCAGCUUAACUGGGGACUGCGUCUGAUACUGGUGGGCUUGAGUGCAGGAGAGGAACGCGGAAUUCCAGGUGUAGCGGUGAAAUGCGUAGAUAUCUGGAGGAACACCGGUGGCGAAGGCGGCGUUCUGGACUGCAACUGACACUGAGGAACGAAAGCCAGGGAGCAAACGGG